Molecule: non-coding RNA, 1621 nt
Organism: Paramisgurnus dabryanus
Lineage: Eukaryota; Metazoa; Chordata; Actinopteri; Cypriniformes; Cobitidae
Source: RefSeq, a predicted model, not a curated record
AUGCAGCCAGCCCUAUCUUACACCUGAUGCACAGCGGACUUUCCCUCCACAGACGCACGUUAGUAAACUAGGAAUGAACUUGUGCUCCCUGGGCUGUUCAGCGCAAAAAAAGAAGGCGUGUUCCGGCGCAAACAAUCCCUGAUGCUAUUUUGCAGUUCCUAAUGUCUAAAGUCAGUGGUGGAAUUGUUUUAAGUGUUGCUUGUGGUAUUCCGAUGCUAUUUUUAGCGAGCAUGCUUGGCCAUAAUGUAGAGUGUGCACAACGAGCAUACACUUUGAUUCCCUCAUCUACACGAAUGCAUUUGCAUUUUUUCUAAUCAUACAUUAUUACAAGGAAAAAUAUUAAAACAUUAAUUGUUGUGUCCAUGAAGAUGUGAGAGAAUUUUUUUUAAAUCUACCUUACACAUUAACCCAAAUUAUUAUUAUUAUUUUAACCAGAGCUUAUUUGUGUGGGUUUCUCCCAUCAUCCCCAUAUAAUGUCACUUCUUUGUGUUUUAGUGGAAGAAAUGAAGAAAAAACAACCAAACGUGGCACUCUCAUUUCACAAAUGAUGGACCAAUCAUUCCCACUAUGCAGACAAGAAAUUGUAAAAAAACAAGGGCCUGCUGUACAGAACAUGGUUGAACGAUGGCCAGCACUUUUCACAGAGAGACAGGUGUUUGCUGAGUUUAAUAGAAUCGCCAGUAAGAAUCUUGAGGGAGACUUGAGGCUUUGGACCAGUAUGCCCCACGUUUCAUCGAACUUUUCAAAACAAAAAGGGAACUGUUGGCCAGAAACUCAAGGAGCUGAUGCAGCACAUGAGCUGGCUGACACCAGGCUCUAGAAUGCAUCACUGUUGGUGUCCUGAUGGUUGUCAGUGAAGAUAGUCCUCACGAGGGUCAAAGCUUAGUGGUCCUCCAGCCCAUCUCCACUGCCAUCAUUCUGGAGGGAGGUAUUGUUAUGGAUAAUGUUAAGAACUUGCCUCAAGUCUUUUGUUUGGGAUUACCCAAAAUGCAUGGCAAAUACACUCAACUUUAUUUAGACUGUGAUGCUUGGACUGGGAAAGAAAAACCUCCCAUCAAAACGGUUGACUCUGAAGAACAGUGUUCUGGGUUAAAGAGCUGUCCGAUAGAACUUUGUAAGCUUUGCAGCCAUUAAUGUUUUCCUGUUGUUAGAUACAGUUUGAUGCUUUCAUGAAACUGUAUUUGCUUCUGAUCUUAAUAAAUAAAAGAAAUUCCAUUAAAGUCUGUAAUGUUAUCCAGGUAUGCUAAUGUUGGAAAUGGAGCCACCGUGUUUUAUUAAGAGUUGUUAGUUGUUAUUAGAUAAUAAUGUCAGAAAAUAACCUACCACGGUUGUCCUGUUUACAUUUGUGUUUUAGGAAAGCUUUUUAUAGUUGUAAUGUAGUACAAAUACAAACCCCAAAACGUGAUGUUUUUGUUUGUUGCUUUAAUCCUUUCACUGCUCACUUUGGGACACAAAACAUUUGUUGUACUUUCAGUUUAAGAUGCAAUUUUUAACUGAAUGUAACUUUUUUAACAUUAAAAAAAUUGCAUUUUAACUCUCUACAGUUAAAUCAACCACAACUUUGUUUAGCUGCUGUUAUGUACAUGAAUGUGCAUUGAAUAAAUGUUGUAAUGUAGCUGAA